RNAcentral lists this long non-coding RNA (296 nucleotides) under Homo sapiens (human). Its description in RNAcentral is "HSALNT0115852". Lineage: Eukaryota; Metazoa; Chordata; Mammalia; Primates; Hominidae. The record is from RNAcentral.
AUCCUUGAGGCCUGCGGGGCAACGGUGGCUGUCCUUGGCCCGGCUUUGGAAUGUGGCUUUGCAGGGCUGGUGUUGGCGCCAUUCUCGCAGGCCCACGUGCUCCUGCUCUUCCAGGGUGUCCUCGGCUGUUUCUCCUGCCGCGGCGCAGCAGCGCUCCCAGGCUGCCCCCGCGAUAACACGCCCCUGGCAGCCAGGCUCCCAGCUCUGUUACGUGCCCGGGCGGGGAAGAGCUUCCUGGUGUCUCCCGGCUCCUGCCCUUCUCCCGCCCCAGGGGCGGGCUGCCGCCGCCCUCUGCA